RNAcentral lists this transfer RNA (69 nucleotides) under Ictidomys tridecemlineatus (thirteen-lined ground squirrel). Its description in RNAcentral is "Spermophilus tridecemlineatus (thirteen-lined ground squirrel) tRNA". It matches the Rfam family "tRNA". From Rfam's summary of the family: Transfer RNA (tRNA) molecules are approximately 80 nucleotides in length. The record is from Rfam by way of RNAcentral. Lineage: Eukaryota; Metazoa; Chordata; Mammalia; Rodentia; Sciuridae.
GGGGUUGUGGCUCAGUGGUAGAGAACUUGCCUGCAACGUAUGAUGCCCUGGGUUCCAUCCUCAGCACCA